This is a long non-coding RNA of Cyprinus carpio carpio, 3179 nucleotides long. The record is from Ensembl. Lineage: Eukaryota; Metazoa; Chordata; Actinopteri; Cypriniformes; Cyprinidae.
CGCAUUUGCGUGCUCUCGGCGCACUUAGAGACUUCAAAUCGAGUUACACUUGUAUCGAUUUCAGGGGGAUCAUCACUCCUCUGCCGCUUUGACUGCUUCCCAUUGACGUCUGUCUGAAUAACUAAACGCUUCUCCUCGAGAAUGAUUCAGCGACGCGAUCCGCAGAGGGCUUGUCGACAUUCUGCGCGCAAUAUGAUUCAAAUCGGUUUAUUACAACAGUCGAAUGGCUGUCGACAUUUCUGCCGCAUCAAACACAAGAAAUUAGACUGCGAUGUUCCGUUCCUGCUGGAAAAAGGGCGUCCGCAAUGAAACGCUGUACAGUGAAAGGGCGAACGGCGCGAGAGGAAUCACGACUCACGCGCUCACGAAAAAGAAGACAAGACGAGCGUGACGAGUGCAGACAGUGGCCCAAAUGGAGACACUAAGAACUUCUCAUUACGCAGUACAUCGAGCCAUCCUCCUGGAGCGCCAGCUUACUAGAAAACGGACAGCCGCCUGAAAAUCGACUGCAAUUUUGGCGAGGACUCCUGUGUUUCAAGUAGCUGUUCUGUCUCUCCAUGUGAACUGACUUCACCUCGGUCUUGCCCAGCUUGGCUAUUAUGUGAGUCUUCACCAGUAUGCCAGCACUUCAUGACCUUGGCUCUAGACUGCUUACUGCUUAUGGAGUCCAACAGUACAGUAACAGUCUACAGUCAUGGCUACUGAAGUCUGGCUCCAGCAUCACAAACACACAACACUAAUACAGAAGGGUUUUAGCCUUUCAUCUGUAUAACUUCGGUUGUGAUUGAAAAGUGAACCCUGUUAAAAUGUGCAUGCACGCAUUCAUCAGAAAUACUCGGCUGUGACGGCAAACAGUUGUGUAUGUCUGAGCCUGUAUUGGGGGAGUCCUGUGCUAUGGAGGCAUGGCUUUUCAUCUAACAAGCCAAUAGAACUGCACUAUUUCCAGUUACCAUGCCAACACCCCCUCAUCCCUACCUCUGCUGUCUCCAUGGUGACCGUGGCUUUAGAUUGUUACUGUAGCGAUGGCACAUGGUAACAGUCUACAGCCAUGGUCGCCAAGGGGCAGGUGUUAUAGCAACAACUGAAAGCAUCAGAAAUGAUUGCGACUAGCUGGCUGAAUUAUGUUUCACGCACGUGACCAGAAACUGUAGCACAGUGAGGAUUUUCUAAGAAGCUGAAUGAUAUGAUUUCAAAAAGUAGGUCAAAGUCUGACUUUAUAUAUUUGUAUUUUUACCUCCUUCUGAAACUCUGUUAAAAGACGUCUCUGUCAACAUUAAAGUAAACAUGUUUUUCUCAGACUUUGCCUGCUGUAAAACAUCAAAGCUACAUUGAGUUCUUCAUUUGAGACCAAAAACUUUAUUCUUUGCACAACAUACAUUAAAUACUUCAAUACAAGCAGAUUCGCUUUCCAAUGUAAUUGCUUCAUGUACUGUACCAGAAUAUACAAUUGUUUCUCUAUAAUGAUUUCCUGAUGAUUCAGUUUGUUCCCUUGAUGGCACAGUGAUUCAUUCUAAUGUGGAGUGCCAACGAUUGCUCCUUUUUUUCCAGACAAUUUCCUGUGGAACAAGGAGAGGCAGUUUCAAUUAGGAUCGGGUGACAGAAUAUUGUUUAAUGUACUGUAUAAUUGAUGAAAGUCAUACAUUUUCUUUUUACCGGUUGCAGUGCCAUCUGGGACAGCUGGGCAGGUGUUUUAGUGAAUUCAGUGAGUAAUUAAUACAUAUCAAACUGGCAGAGAUGUCUUGUCUAAAUGUAUGUUAAUCUGCAACAAUUUUUAGUAGUGUGCAAUAGAACAUGGCCCAAAUGCUAAAAAAUAUCCAAUUUUAGCAGUCACACAUCGCCCUCUUGAGGAGAGAGUUUAUAGUUGCGGAAAACAAUCUGUGGGCCAGUGUUGUGCUUGGUACCAUUAAAUGUAAUAGAAAGAAAUUAUAUUCAGAAAUGUUUCUAUGAAAAUUUAAGUAAAUAAAAUCUCAACAUCCAAAGACAAUGUCCCCUGUAUUGGUUUUAAUAUUUUAAAAUUAUGCCAGUUUUGAUUAAUUAAACAUUUGUAGCCAGGGUUAUCUACAUUUUAAAGCAUUUUUGGGGUCCAAGUUAAAAAAAAAAGAAAGAAAAAAAAGAUAGCAUCUAAUCCCUGUUGAUCAUUAAAAUUUUUUUUUUUCAUUUAGAAGGCAACAAUUGAUUUUAAAAAUAUUUUCUCUGUUCUUCUGCAUUUUUAUUAUUUUCUAGCUUCUGUGUUACUUAGCAGUAAAAUCAAUAGUUUUGCCCAGGGUUAACUGUUUUUUUUUUUUUUUCCUGAGUUAAUAAAAAAAGUUUGAUCUGGAAACUCUCUGAUCUGGAAAUUGUUGCCUCAUGUAUGCUAAACUUGCGACAUUCCAUAUUUGUUGCUGAAUGAUCAAAUCUAAAUGUUGAUCUUCCAAAACAAAGUGAAUACUUUGAAACAAAGUGAUGAGAGGUUGAUAGAGACUCUUUUCCCUACAAGUAAGAGACCAUGUGCUGAUACUUGAACCUCAGCACAUAAACUCUUACUGUUCAGGGCUAAGGGCAUCAUACAGGGACGAACACACACACACACACACACACACACACACACAGAUUCACUGCCACUCUAAGAAUGAUUAAUUACACAUUCAGCCUCUAAAAGAAGAUAAACUGGGCAGUGUCAGACCUUGAAACUGAAAAGCAGAGAAAAUAAUGUAAGAAAUAAUCAGCAACAUGUUUUGCCCUAAUAAAAGUUUAAAUUCAGUUUUUUUUAGAUCAAUAAAUUCUAUCCAUUUAAAAAGACAGUCAAAUUAAUAAGAUACAUUAACUGCAGUGAUUAGAAAUGGAAAGUACAGUCUGUGAUUUGUCAGCUCCUCUAACUGACCUAAACGUGCCCCUGUAACAACUAGACGCACAAGAAGGAACAGCCAAACCACAAGAAUUUGAAAGUUUUUGUUCAGAUCGAAGCAUUUCCUUUUCACCAAAACCUUGUAGGUCUUACCAAUGAUAACACAGAGAGUUCCAGCAGCUCAGAAAGAAAGAAUGAAAGAAAGAAAGAAAACCUGAGUUUGGAAAGUUGAGAAGUCAGGAAACAAACUUUGGCUUAUGAUAAGCCCUGUCCACAUAAACAGAAAAACCAUGAAGUGGCAGGACUGUGUGUUUGGAUCAGGCUGGAAAUAAAUAAUAAGUUACUCAAAUCACAC